Molecule: long non-coding RNA, 497 nt
Organism: Pocillopora damicornis (cauliflower coral)
Lineage: Eukaryota; Metazoa; Cnidaria; Anthozoa; Scleractinia; Pocilloporidae
Source: RefSeq, a predicted model, not a curated record
UGUUUGUGCGUUGGUCGUCUUGUGUCCCGUUCGACACCUUUGUGUAAUAAUUUUUGGAGAGGAUAAAAGAUUGUGACAAGUUUACCAACAUUUCUAACUCUGUGGAUACUCGUAAUGUUUGUUGGCUCUUGGGAUGGGCAUAUUUUAAUGAUCAAAGUCCCAACAAAACGUCAAAAAAGCCCGAAAACUAUGAGUUUGAGAUUUGAUUUAUUGAAGAUCGAGAUGCGCACAUGAGACUACAAACCUUGAAGGGAGACGUGAAGUAAUCCCAAUACAUACAAUUGGUACUAUUGACAGAAUGGAUAGGUGUGACAUCUACUGUGGCAAGCUGGUAUUCAAGAGAUUGUCAUUAGUACCAGAAGCUUACUAAUGGUUUAAAUUAUCAAUCUUUUGUUCUCGCCACGCAACUUGCCUCAACUAGCUUAUGCUACAUGCAACUUGUGUCUAUACUUUUUUUGUAACCAUAAAAUUACCAAUAAAGUUUUUGAAAGUUCUGU